GACGAACGCUGGCGGCGUGCUUAACACAUGCAAGUCGAACGGAAAGGCCCUGCUUUUGUGGGGUGCUCGAGUGGCGAACGGGUGAGUAACACGUGAGUAACCUGCCCUUGACUUUGGGAUAACUUCAGGAAACUGGGGCUAAUACCGGAUAGGAGCUCCUGCUGCAUGGUGGGGGUUGGAAAGUUUCGGCGGUUGGGGAUGGACUCGCGGCUUAUCAGCUUGUUGGUGGGGUAGUGGCUUACCAAGGCUUUGACGGGUAGCCGGCCUGAGAGGGUGGACGGCCACAUUGGGACUGAGAUACGGCCCAGACUCCUACGGGAGGCAGCAGUGGGGAAUAUUGCACAAUGGGCGCAAGCCUGAUGCAGCGACGCCGCGUGGGGGAUGACGGCCUUCGGGUUGUAAACUCCUUUCGCUAGGGACGAAGCUUUUUGUGACGGUACCUAGAUAAGAAGCACCGGCUAACUACGUG
RNAcentral lists this ribosomal RNA (469 nucleotides) under uncultured bacterium. RNAcentral's name for it is "partial 16S ribosomal RNA". It matches the Rfam family "Bacterial small subunit ribosomal RNA", at positions 28 to 507 of the family's 1533-position model. The record is from RNAcentral.